UUAAGCAAAAAAGGGCGCGGGGCGGAUGCCUUGGCACCAGGGGCCGACGAAAGACGUGGUAAGCUGCGAAAAGCUGCGGGGAGCUGCAAACAGGCAUAGAUCCGCAGAUAUCUGAAUGGGGAAACCCGGUGGAGAAUACCUCCAUCACCAUAUGCUGAAUCCAUAGGCAUAUGGAGGGAACCCGGCGAACUGAAACAUCUAAGUAGCCGGAGGAAAAGAAAGAAACAUCGAUUCCGGAAGUAGCGGCGAGCGAAACCGGAGAAGCCCAAACCACUGUGCGAGCAUGGUGGGGUAAGGACUGCAUAAGCGACCGUAAUGACAGCCAAAAGGCCCUGGAAAGGCCUGCCGGAGAGGGUGAAAGCCCCGUAGGCGAAAUCAGUAAGGCGCGGCAGUAUCCGGAGUACCACGGGACACGAGAAACCCUGUGGGAAUAAGCGGGGACCACCCCGUAAGGCUAAAUACCCACUGGUGACCGAUAGAGCAGAGUACUGUGAAGGAAAGGUGAAAAGGACCCCGUGAGGGGAGUGAAAGAGAACCUGAAACCCCGCGUCUACAAGCUGUGGGACACCCGUAAGAGGUGAACCGCGUACUUUUUGUAGAACGGUCCGGCGAGCUGCGAGCAGAGGCAAGGUUAAGCGGUUAAGCCGCGGAGCCGAAGGGAAACCGAGUGUUAAUAGCACAUAGAGUCACUGCUUACAGGCCCGAAACCGGGUGAUCUACCCAUGUCCAGGAUGAAGCUGCCGUAAAAGGCAGUGGAGGUCCGAACGCACAUCCGUUGAAAAGGGUGGCGAUGAGGUGUGGGUAGGGGAGAAAUUCCAAUCGAACCCGGAGAUAGCUGGUUCUCCCCGAAAUAGCUUUAGGGCUAGCCCCGGUUAUACCUGCCGGAGGUAGAGCACUGGAUUUCCGCGGGGGCGUCAAAGCCUACCAAAGAAUACCAAACUCCGAAUGCCGGAAAGGAUAAGACCGGGAGUCAGGCUGCACGAGAUAAGUUGGGCAGCCAAAAGGGAAAGAGCCCAGACCCGCGGCUAAGGCCCCCAAGUACGUGUUAAGUGGAAAAGGAUGUGGGAUUCCGAAGACAGCCAGGAUGUUGGCUCAGAAGCAGCCAUACAUUCAAAGAGUGCGUAACAGCUCACUGGCCGAGGGGUCCUGCGCCGAAAAUGUCCGGGGCUGAAACACGACGCCGAAGCCCGGGAUCAAAGAGGCGGCCAAGGCCCCUCUUGAUGGUAGGGGAGCAUCGCCGGUGCAAAGAAGCCGUACCGAAAGGAGCGGUGGAGUACCGGGGAGAGAGAAUGCCGGAAUGAGUAGCGAGAUGGAGGUGGGAAUCCUCCAGGCCGGAUGUCCAAGGUUUCCAGGGUAAAGCUGAUCUGCCCUGGGUGAGUCGGGGCCUAAGGCGAGGCUGAAAAGCGUAGCCGAUGGAUAACAGGUAGAGAUUCCUGUACUGCCUUAUAACAGAAGAUGCGGGGACGCGUUGGCAAAGUGUGAGCCGGGAAAGGAAAAACCGGUGCAAGGACGAGAGGCGUCGGAGGGGAAAGUCCCUUCCGGCAGCAAGCCGGCCGUCUGAUGCAUAGCGAAAAAGAGUAGCGAAACACAUGGAGCGGGCGCCGAGAAAAGCCGCUAUUGUUUGUAAGGUACCCGUACCGAAGACCGACACAGGUGGACAGGGAGAGGAUCCCAAGGCCGGCGGGCGAAGCACUGCCAAGGAACUCGGCAAAAUGGCCCCGUAACUUCGGGAGAAGGGGCGCCCCCGUGAGGGGGCCGCAGAGAAUAGGCCCAAGCAACUGUUUAGCAAAAACACAGGUCUGUGCAAAACCGCAAGGUGAAGUAUACGGGCUGACGCCUGCCCGGUGCUGGAAGGUUAAGGGGAGGGGUAAGCGGGAAACCGCGAAGCUCCGAGCCUAAGCCCCAGUAAACGGCGGCCGUAACUAUAACGGUCCUAAGGUAGCGAAAUUCAUUGUCGGGCAAGUUCCGACCCGCACGAAAGGCGUAAUGAUUUGGGCGCUGUCUCGGCAGUGCACCCGGUGAAAUUGAAGUGCCAGUGAAGAUGCUGGCUACCUGCGCCAGGAC
Molecule: ribosomal RNA, 2064 nt
Filed under: mouse gut metagenome
Description: bacterial LSU rRNA
Rfam family: Bacterial large subunit ribosomal RNA
Source: RNAcentral